Molecule: ribosomal RNA, 445 nt
Filed under: uncultured bacterium
Lineage: Bacteria
Description: bacterial SSU rRNA
Rfam family: Bacterial small subunit ribosomal RNA
Source: RNAcentral
GAUGAACGCUGGCGGCGUGCUUAACACAUGCAAGUCGAACGGGAAAUAUUUCAUUGAGACUUCGGUGGAUUUGAUUUAUUUCUAGUGGCGGACGGGUGAGUAACGCGUGGGUAACCUGCCUUAUACAGGGGGAUAACAGUCAGAAAUGGCUGCUAAUACCGCAUAAGCGCACAGAGCUGCAUGGCUCAGUGUGAAAAACUCCGGUGGUAUAAGAUGGACCCGCGUUGGAUUAGCUUGUUGGUGGGGUAACGGCCCACCAAGGCGACGAUCCAUAGCCGGCCUGAGAGGGUGAACGGCCACAUUGGGACUGAGACACGGCCCAGACUCCUACGGGAGGCAGCAGUGGGGAAUAUUGCACAAUGGGGGAAACCCUGAUGCAGCGACGCCGCGUGAAGGAAGAAGUAUCUCGGUAUGUAAACUUCUAUCAGCAGGGAAGAUAGUGACG